This 616-nucleotide ribosomal RNA is filed under the name uncultured bacterium. RNAcentral describes it as "partial 16S ribosomal RNA". The stretch from base 349 to 616 matches the Rfam family "Bacterial small subunit ribosomal RNA", at positions 552 to 798 of the family's 1533-position model. The record is from RNAcentral.
CGGGUACGGUACGGUACCGACCGUACGGUAACGGUAACGUAACGUAACGUAACGUAACGUACGGUACCGGUACCGACGAACGACGGUACGGUACGUACGUACGUACGUUACGUUACGUUACGUACGUACGACGACGAACGUAACCGUAACCGUAACGUACGUACGUACGUACGUACGUCUACGUACGUACGUACGUAGUAGUAGUACGUACGUACUCUCGGGGUCCAGAGUGACAGGUGUGCAUGGUGUGCAGCNCGUGNGUGNGCGCGNGCAGNAUGAGANUCANAGNGCNNCCUAUCCCCCUGUCCGUGGCCUUGGCCUUCCCACGACCUACGGCCGCGUCCGGACUAUUGGGCGUUAAAGGCGAGCCGAGCGGUAAAGUAAGGUACUAGACUUGAGUAAAGCCCCGGACGUCCGACCGGUACGGACGAGUUGGAACUUGGUUUAACUUGUUAAGUUCAGAGAGAGAAGGUGGAAGUUCGAAUUCGUGUUAGUGGUGAACGUGAACGCAGAGAUAUGUGGAAGACACGUGGCGAAAGCGGCUCUCUGGUCUGUAACUGACGCUGAGGCUCGAAAGCGUGGGGAGCAAACAGGAUUAGAUACCCUGGUAGUCCAC